Molecule: long non-coding RNA, 2247 nt
Organism: Mus musculus (house mouse)
Lineage: Eukaryota; Metazoa; Chordata; Mammalia; Rodentia; Muridae
Product: predicted gene, 46527
Exons: 3
Source: RefSeq, a predicted model, not a curated record
AAGAGGGAGCACAGGGUGUAUGUGUGCGUGUGUGUGUGUGUGUGUGUGUGUGUGUGUGUGUGUGUGUGUGUGCCCAGUUAGCUUGUGACAAAGCUGAGACUACAACCUAAGCAGCUGACAUGGUGCAGGAAGGGCUCUGAGCUCAGAGUCUGAACACAGGUUCAAGUUUCAGCUCUGCCACUUCUUAGCUCUGCUGCUCUGGAUUCGGAGCCACACAGAAACCAGUCGCAUGCCAGCCGCUCAAAGAGCCCCAGGAGGAGCCAGUCAGGGAGGCUCGCCGUAUUACACCCUGGGUCCUUCCCCCUCUACCCACCCAGACACCAGGCGGCACCUGCCCUUCGAACACACUGUUUCUGCUCCCAGGGCUCUGAGCAGACAGCACGAGGCGGCCUCUUGCGUGAUGGGGAGAAGAGAGUCAGAGCCACUCCAAGGCAACGGGGAGGCAGGAAGUUCAAGUUGAGUGUGGCGCUGCCCAGCUGCAGGACUAAACUCUGGAAUGCCAAGGGACCUGGCCCCAAGCUGGACCACCAACCCAGUGAACAAAUCAUGACAGGGAGAAACACAGUGGGUAUUGCUUCUCUGCACUAGCUGUUUGAAGUUUCCCUGGGAUGCCCUGACAUGAAGCUGUAGUGCUUCUCCUGCCAGGAUCCAUUCAUUCAUUCAUCCACCAUUCAUUCACUUUGCCAUUUCUAUCUCCCUUCAGUCAGAGCAAACUUGUCCAACCUGCUGUGUCUAAGCAGAAGCAGAAGGCUUCUCCAUCUAGAAUAGAGAAGGCUAGCCCUGUCCUGGCUUCUGUGGUAUUUAUGUCAUCCUAUGACAGUGUGUAAUGAGCCACCUAAAUCCCACCAGAACCCCGGAAAUUGAAGGCCAGAGACAGUCAGAGGUGGGGUGGGAUGGAGGAGCCAUGGAAGGAACUGGUGGGGGACUCAGAAUGCUACAGCCCCCGCCUCCACCCUCUCUGCAUGCAUGUGACAGUUGUCACUGUGCUCAUACGGAUCCACCAGAAUUUGAAGACACUGGAGCUCAGAAGAAAGCGCAAGGUCCCUGGCUGGCUGGCAGGGGUGGGGUUGGAACAGAGCCCCAGUCCCUCACUGCCUCUUCAUCCCCCUGCUGGGCAGUCGCCAUUGUGCUGUGACAGGAAUGACUCUGGGCUUCAAUAUCCUUCUGCAGACAUUCUAGUUACCAUUGUGAAUACCCCCUGCUGCAGGGGUCCACAAUGCUGUUUCUCCAGGUCUCCUCAAUGUCCAGGCAGCCAUGACAACAGAGUAACCAGUUUACAUCACAGAGUAGGGCUUCUGAAAGCUCUGGCUUGGGCAUUUAAGGCAACAACCAAUGCAUUCUAAACAGUCACCCAUUUUUCAGGAGAAGAAACUGAGGCUGCAGGGCCACAUAACUUACCCAAGGUCCCCCAAUGAGCAAGCAUGCAGAAGAGACACUUGUCCAGAAUGGAGCCCAGUACAGCCUCUGUGACUCCCAGGGCUCGUUGCCUUGGUGACAGGCCCCAGCACAGCAGCUGGGCUCAGUCCCAAAAGGGCUCCAAUUCCAGGCAGUUACACCCAGGAAUGUCACAUCCCGGACCUGCUCCCAGAAGCCUGAACCAUCUAAACACCACAGUGGAACAAACAAGGUGAUGCUGUGGGGGCUUCCUGCUGUGCUGACAGGGGCCAUCGAGGAUGCCAGCCUGCCUGCUGGAUUCACAAAGCCUCCAUCAGCCUGUUUCCAGGUGUGCAGAGAGUAGGACUCAGGCAGCCUCAGGCCCCACAUCCUUGAAGACCCAGGCCCUGCCACAGCCCAGGAAGGAGGGACCCAGAGCCAGUGUCUGGAGCUUUUCAGUUUAGUAAUGAGUUUCAACAACAGCCUGUAUGCUGCCCCCAACCCUUACAGAGCCACUCAGUCCAGGGUCAUGCUAGAUCUGACUAUAACUAGCCACCUUCCCUCUUGCUUUCUGAAUUCAGCUUUCCUUAGAGAAUCAGAGAUCUGCUUCAGGCUGUCUGAAGGUGACAGGUGACAAUGGGCACAGAGGUCUAAGAAACAGACAUGUGUCAGGCUAGAUUGUGACAAAGGAAUGUAUUCAAGCCUGAAGGUGUCACUUUGGGGCCAGGUCUCUGUGGGACACACAGCAUUCCUUCCAGAAAUGUCCUUUGCCUCCUCUGCCGGGCAUCCCUUCUGCACACCCUUCAAGAUGCCAGCUAGUCAGCUAAAGCUCCCUUUCCCAACAGCCCUCCCGGCCCCCUCAGGUACCUCUGU